UCGGGAAAAAUGUGAGACAACAAAUCCUAGAUUAUCAACUUAGGUAACAGAGAGGAGGAAGGCCCAAGCAAACAUAAGAAAAAAGUUCUGUACUGAAACACAGCUAUUCCAUUCUACUCAUUUGUAAAGUUAAAGUGUGAAUAUUAGAAAGUAAUACAAUAUUAAGGACACUAAAAGAAAGAAUACCCCCUAGAUUUGUGGUACAAGUGUGUGGCUGUGAAAAACAACUUUAUACAUGAAGAAUUCACUGGAGUAAAUAUCAGAGUAUAAACAAAAGGGUUUGGAAUUGAGAUGAUGCAUUUGAUUUAAUACAAAGUGGAAAAAAUAGAAGAUAAGAGACAAGAAGAUUGUAAUUGUGUUUCAUGUAUUCUGUGAUUCCAACUGGAUGAAUAAUAAGCAAGAAAUGUACAGAGCUGUCUAAAAAUUAAAUUGCUUAUGUUGGGGGAGUGAAGGAUAUGAGAUUAUGGGUGUCUUAUUGUUUUAUUUUUCAAAAAUUUCCUUAAUGUGGCUGCUGUGGUUUGAAUGUCCCCUCUAAAAGUCAUGUUGAAAUUUAAUCCCCAAUGCGGCAGUAUUGAGAGGCAGAGUCUUUAAAAGGUAGUUGGGUCAUGAGAGCCCUCAUGAAUUAAUGGAUUAAUGAGUGAAUGAAUGAAUGGGUCAUCAUGGGAGUGGGACUGGUGGUUUUAUAAAGAGAAGAGAGACCCCAGUGAACAAACUUAGCCGCCUCACCAUGUGAUUCCCUUUGCCGCCUCAGGACGGCAAGAGGCCCCACCAGUAAGAAGGCACUCGUCAGAUGUCCCCCUGACAUUGAACUCUACAGCCUCCAGAACAGUAAAAAAAAAAAAAAGUUUGUUUGUCUAUAAAUUACCCAGUUUCAGGUAUUCUGUUAUAAGCAGUAGAAAAUGGAGUGAGAAAUGGCUCUAUGAGCUUUUCAAAUAAAAUAACAUGUAAGAAUAAUUCCUGGCCUAUUGCCUGACAGUCAUAGUGUUCCCCAUUCUAUUUCUGUCACUUAUUUGGGAAGGUUUUCCUGAUUCUCACCUCUCACCCCAGUCAUCCCUGUGGCAUGUUUCUAUAUCACUGUAUUGAUGACAAUUUACUGUACUAUAAAGUACAGUACUGAUGACAACUUUACAGUUAAUGCUUUGAUUUUCUAUCUUCUCUGGUAGACAUGGGCUUUUGCAGGUGAGGGCAGUAUAUUUUCUUGCUUACUGAUACAUCUUUAGUAUGUAGCUAGUGCCUUGUCUAUGAUAGGUACCUAAUAAAUAUUUAUUGCCUAAAUUCUCAAGUCUCCAAAUAAAAGAGAACACCAAAAAGCUAAGACUUUUAUUUUACACUGUCUUUGGCUCUUUUGGUCUCAGGCACUUUUGGAACCCACACCUCACUUUCUCUUCGUCUUGACAAACACUGUCCAAAUUUUUCAGCCAACCCAAAGCUGUAAGUAGAUCUUACUCAAACAACUUUAGCAUGUAAGAGUUAGAAGAGCCCCUCAACAUAUCUAUUCCAAACACCUUCCUCCAAAGUUGACACAGAUUUUCUUAGCAACAGUCAAGAUGAGUAAUCACCCAGUCUUCCCUUGAGCACUUUGAGUGAUGGUGAACUCCCCAUUUUUCAAGACAGCUCAUUACCUUUUCAGAGAAAUCUCUUCUAGACUUGGUAAACAUGAGGUACAUGUGCUGACACUCUGAGCCCCACACUUGUGGCAGAGAUCACCAAUUAAUCACAAUGUUUUUUUUUUUUCCCACCAAGCCUAGGUUUAGCUUUAGAAUCAUCCUCAACAUUAUUUUUCAUUUGGAUGGAGGUCAAUUUUCAGUCCCUGCUGCAGUUAUGAGAAAGUUAAGUCUUCUACACAUUGCUCUUCUUCAUGUUCUCUGUGAGCACACAGGACUCUAAUAGUCUGGGGUGAGGACAGCGUCAGCCCUGAAGUUUUGAGCCCAUUCCUGGAACACAGUUUGGGAAAGACAAAAUCUGCAGGCUGGUGUGUUGGUAUUAGGCUCUCCAAAGCCUGAGAUCCACAAGGUCAAAUAUUGGAAACAGGCAUUUCUUAGGCACUAUGAAUAAUCUUUCCACUGACUUCUGAAAGCCUAUAUCAGGGAUGGAAGCCUAGGGUCAUUGAGGCACUGGGAUCCAGGUUGAGGGCAGGUCAAGGCUGCUUGUGGUAAAGCUGGGACUAGAACCUCAGUCUGUGAUCUCUAAUCCGUUGAGUCCCCUAUCAGACCAAAUUGAUUUUUCUUUGAUAAAGCAUUAACCUACUAUUUCCCCAAUUUCAUUUUGAAAUCAUGGGUUGAGUCAUGAAGAAGGCAGGUCAUCUACCUAUAUAGAAGAACGCUGGGUCUACUGAAACAUAGAGUGAUUCCUUGCAGCUUCCAGAAGGGUUUGGGAGAUUCAGUUGUGAAUAAUGCUAACACAGUUGCAAUGUUAGAUUAGUACAGGUUUACUUUUAAAUAUUUAAUAAUAUAAAAGACUUGCAUAGCUUCAAUUCAUUUAAGCUUCCCAAUAAUGGGUAAAU
RNAcentral lists this long non-coding RNA (2503 nucleotides) under Homo sapiens (human). RNAcentral's name for it is "HSALNT0068990". Lineage: Eukaryota; Metazoa; Chordata; Mammalia; Primates; Hominidae. The record is from RNAcentral.